CUCAACAGACUUGUGGUGGAGUAACAGAGUGGAGACCACCGAGGCAACUCCCAGAUCUGCACCCACAAAUGGGGGGGGGCAGGCACUGUGGGACUUUGCCACCUGCCCAGGCCCCUUCCUUCAACUGCAGCAGAACUGCUUUCCAGUGCUCUCUGAAGUGAAGGAUGCUGAGGCUCAACCCUGUUCAGUGAAGCACAACCCCGGAGCCAUGUCUGGAACCAGGAUGUCUCCACGUCUCCUCGUCUCUCCCCUAGUGGCUCAACCUCCAGCAGGGCAGGUGACCUGCAGUCCCGGGGAACCCACAACUCCAUUUCAGACCCUGGGCACAGGUGGUCACGGACCUGGCAGGACUGCAGGGUCACCAGUGCCCCCCAGCCCUGAGUUGGAGCUACCUAUGUCCUGGCCUAAGGACCUUCCUCCCGGAGGCCUCCGAGCCCUUCCCAGCUGGCACAGGACUUACCAUCUCCUUCAGCUCUGCCAGCUUCUCCUGCAGCUGGCUGAGUUUUGAGGCCAGCUCCAGCCUCCAGACCUUUCAGAGCCAACUGCUCCCUCAGUUGCCACAUCCCACCUUGCCACCUAGCAAAGUGUCUGCUGCCAAGGGUCCAUGGGAGAUGGGUGCUUCACCAGUUUCGUUGCCUGCCUGGUCCUUCACCUGCUCUGCUCCAGGGACAUCUGUGCUCCAAGGACAUCUGUGCUGCCCAGACUUCUGUGCUGCAGUCCUACCAGGAUGCAUACAGCAAAGUUUGGGAGAAAGCACAAUUGCAGAGGGGAGCACAGAGAGGCAGAAAGGACUGAAUCACCCUGCAGUAAGAAAAAGGAGGUCAGUGUUUCAUGUGGACAAAGAAGAAAGAAUUGUGAGAUAAGGUCAAAGAUAUUCGCAGAAACUAGUCACUCAGAACUUCCUAAUUCAGGGGGAUGGCCUGACCUUCAUGCUAAUUGUGAAAAUGGAGAGAGGUGUUGGCGAGUGGAGUGAAUUGAAUAAUUUGUGUUUGAGAAAAAUCUCUUUGCAUUGGGGAAACUAGAUUGUAGGAGAACAAGAAUGCAACAGGAAAACAACCAAGAAACUUGCAGUAGACAAAGAGAGAGGAGUGGGUCAGAGUGGUGUAUUGCAUAGGUUGUUAGCUAAUAGGACUGAUGUGGAUGGGUAUAGAAAGUGAGGGAAAGACAGAAAUUAAAGAUGCUGCCAAAGUUCCUAUCCUGAGCAACUUGGUAGAUGUAAUUGCUAUUUGCUUUUUUUUUUUUAAAGUUUCAUUUCUAUUUGCUGAAUUCAGAGAAAAAGAGUAGAUGUUUAGGUAAAUAGAAGAUUGGUGUAGUUGAAGAGGUUAAAUUCCAUCUUCUUUUAUAAGAAAUCACACCACUCUAUCUAACAAAGAUUAUUGAUAUAUAAUGUUGUGGGGAAGAAUCAAGGUGGAGGCCCUGUUGCAGGGGUGAAAGAGUUCACCAGAGACAGAUGGGAAAGACCAGGUGAAUUUAUUGAAAUACACUGCUAAAAGAAGCAGAGGGCGAAUCAGGAAGGUUGUACUGCUCAGAGUUUGGGUCCCAAGUCUCUAUACUUUAGAACCAUUGACUGGUUAGGGUGACUAGUCUUGGGUGUGUCCUGACUGAUGAUCCGAAUCAGCAUAGAGGGUCAUCAGUUCCGGGGCUUCACCAGCUUAAGGACCAUGUUUCCAUGGCAGUUCCAUCCACUCCCUUUAUCAUUCCAGCCUCUCCUACUUGCCUGCUGGGUAAGGAGUGGGAGCUUGGUUUUCAAAUUCUUAAUGAUACUUUGACAGGCCAGAGGUGCAGGGGUGAAAAAUUUCACCAGAGGCAGACUGGAGAACAGAAAAGGCACAUUUGUUCAAAUACACUGCUAAUGAAGCAGCCGGGGAGACAGGAAAGAUCUGCAAGUGAAGAAAGAUUUGGGGGCUCCCUUUUAUAACUGGUUUUGUCAUUUUUGCUUUGGGGAGUAAGUUUUGGGCUGGUUAGUGCAGGGGAGUCUGAUCCUGGGGGGUUGAUCUUUGACCCAGAAUGUGUCCUGGCCUUGCCUCCACAUUCCUGGUCAAAGGGAUCCAUCUUACGGAUUGGGACCCAGAGCAGCCUUAUCAGUUCUCUCUGUGUUCAAGCCUCCCAAACCUUCCUGCUGGGCAAGGGGUAGGGGCUUAAUUUUAACCUUAUUUAACACUUCCCCACCAUUUGGUUUCUGUUUUUCUGCCACAGUGGAUACUUUCCUAUAUGCGAUUUACAUUCCCUCUUCCUGGUCUUCACCUGUCUGCAUCUGUUAAAUUCGGAAGUCUCUACUGACAGAAACAAUUCAAAGCAUGCACUUUAUGACUUAACACUCUUAUAUCAAUAAGUGUCACAUAAAUUACCAAAAAGAGAAGCCCAAAUCCCCAAAGGCUAAACACGGAAUCUACAUUUUCUUAAGAGAAUUUCUGACAAUUAAAUUGUAAGUUAUGGUGAAAUCUAAAGCAGCAAAAGGUGUUGAAUAGGGUUGCUUUAUGUUUUAUUGCUAAUUCCCUGUCAAAGCCAUAUGCUUAAUUACCAAAUAUUAAAACAUGUGCCCAUCAAAGUGUUAGGGGGAAAGGAAGUCCUGAGCUAAUUCCAUACAGGCUUUGUGGACUCCACCCCACUCCAGACCAAAGCCAUCAGGACACUGGGAAAGACAAAUUCCAUCACCACCAAAAGAGGGUUGCUGGGACCUGAGGGUGGAGUUAAGCAGCCAGGUUUGAUAUAAAACCAGACACAUGGGUCUUGGGGGCCCCCUUCUUGGCUUCACGGCUCUUGGCUCGCGGCCAGAUCUCAGAGUACCAUUGGGUUUCCAGGUCAGCGGAACGGGUAGGACGCAUUUAAGACUUGAUCUCCCUAUUUUCUCCCUGAGUUGUACAUUCCCUCAUUUCCCCUUUCCUCAGAGUGCACUCAUCCCUCUUGUGGACCUGACUCAGUAUGCUCCUGACUACACUGAGCGGGAUGAGGAGAGAGCUUGUGCAUGGGGAUUUACUGAGUUUGACCCCAGCUCCACUUGGAGAGUAAACUCCCAUGGGAUGAUACUCCUCCCUGAGGCCCUGGUAUAUCCGAUGCUAAAACAUCUUCAUGGAGGAUCUCACUAUGGGAGAGAUGCCUUAUUAGAAACAGUGCGCCCAUAUUUGAAGGACCCAUAUUUACAUAAAAUAGCACACCUGGGUCUGUCAACUAUGUGCCAGGAAUAACCCCAAGACUUACUCCCACCCUAAAGCCAUUCGGGUUCAAUAUCGGGGCAAGUACCCUUUUGAGGACUGGCAGGUGGACUUUACACAAAUACUUAGAAAAACAGGCAGUUUCAAAUACCUACUGGAUUUUGUGGACACGUUCUCCGGAUGGGUGGAAGCUUCUCCCACAAAGACGAAGAAAGCUUCCAAGGUGGCAAAAGAGCUGCUGAAGGAGAUAAUCCCUCGCUUUGGGUUGCCCAGCUCCAUCCAGAGUGAUAAUGGGCCAACAUUCAUCUCUGACUUUACUCAUGCAGUAAGCAAUGUGUUACAGAUCAGCUGGAAAUUGCAUGCUGCAUGGAGACCACAGUCUUCUGGAAAAAAUGAACCACACCUUAAAGAAAACCUUGGCAAAACUGUGCCAAGAAACACACCUUCGUUGGGACCAAGUACUAUCCCUUGCCCUCCUCCAGAUAAGAGUAGCACCUAGAAGUGGGCUACAAUUAAACCCCUUUGAAACUGUGUUUGGAAGACCUUUCCAGGCCUCAGUUUGGAAAGGCGGUCCAGAAAUAGCACAAGAUUGCCGGAUCAUACAAUAUGCGAAACAUAGCCAGGAGGUUCUGGCACAACUUUGCAACCUCAAGGAUCUCUAUGCCUCCUGAUCAACCAUUGUAUCCCUUCCGACCUGGAGAGCAGAUCUUACUCAAGACUUGGCAGAGUGGGCAUGCCAAAAACCAGCUGUCAGAAAAAUGCACUGGUCCACAUGACGUUUUGCUGAGCAUACAUACUUCUUUGAAACUUGCAGGCAUAAAACCCUGGGUACAUCAUUCCAGAGUUAAGCAAGCACCAGAAGGAACUGACCCAGAGACAAAGUCCCACUGGUCUUGUGAACUCAUUGAGGACUUGAGAUGUAUAUUUAAGAAAAAGACAAAAACUUGAAUGUUACUGACUUCUUUUCCAGUUAUUGUUGCAGGAUGUCCAAAGAUUCACUUUUCUGGAUUUUUUUUUUAAGAUUUAUUUAUUUAUUUAUACAAGCACUGCGUACAGUCAGAAGUGCGGGAGGGUGAGAGAAUUCACCAGAGCCAGAGCGGGGAACAGAACAGGCAGAAUGACGAAAUACAUUGCUGAGGGGAGCAGCGGGGUGAGGCAGGAGAGGUCUGUCAUGCCAUGUGGGACCCUCGCCAGUGGCCGGGGAUUGAACCGGCACUGCAGAGGCUGCGGGCAGCCCCACAGUCCAGCGCUCAACCACUGUGCCACCAGGGGAGGCCCGGAUUCACUUUUCUGAAGAAACCCUAAGAUGACUAACAUGAUCAAACCAAUCUUCUUCCUUUCAAAAUUUAAGAGAUGUGAAAUAACAUCUAGAAUCACGCAUAUGCUGGCAGUAUUUUUUUUUUUUUUUACACAGAAAGGCUUUCAAUCUUG
Long non-coding RNA from Talpa occidentalis (Iberian mole), 4583 nucleotides. RefSeq lists it as uncharacterized. The record is from RefSeq and is a predicted model, not a curated record. NCBI's taxonomy places the organism in Eukaryota, Metazoa, Chordata, Mammalia, Eulipotyphla, Talpidae. The transcript is spliced from 3 exons.